RNAcentral lists this ribosomal RNA (112 nucleotides) under Caerostris darwini. The record is from RNAcentral. Lineage: Eukaryota; Metazoa; Arthropoda; Arachnida; Araneae; Araneidae.
AACGGCCGUACCAUGCUGAAUAUACCGGUUCUCGUUAGAUCACCGAAGUCAAGCAUCAUUGGGCGCGGUCAGUACUUGGGUGGAUGGCCACCUGGGAACACCGCGUGCCGUU